RNAcentral lists this ribosomal RNA (335 nucleotides) under uncultured Symbiodinium. RNAcentral's name for it is "partial Bacterial small subunit ribosomal RNA". It matches the Rfam family "Bacterial small subunit ribosomal RNA", at positions 442 to 769 of the family's 1533-position model. The record is from RNAcentral. Lineage: Eukaryota; Dinophyceae; Suessiales; Symbiodiniaceae.
GGGAAGAAAAGGCUGUUGCUAAUAUCGACAGCUGAUGACGGUACCUGAAGAAUAAGCACCGGCUAACUACGUGCCAGCAGCCGCGGUAAUACGUAGGGUGCGAGCGUUAAUCGGAAUUACUGGGCGUAAAGCGAGCGCAGACGGUUACUUAAGCAGGAUGUGAAAUCCCCGGGCUCAACCUGGGAACUGCGUUCUGAACUGGGUGACUAGAGUGUGUCAGAGGGAGGUAGAAUUCCACGUGUAGCAGUGAAAUGCGUAGAGAUGUGGAGGAAUACCGAUGGCGAAGGCAGCCUCCUGGGAUAACACUGACGUUCAUGCUCGAAAGCGUGGGUAGC